CUUCUUUUCAUUCUUAUGCAGGGUGAUUGUUCGGUGCUGAUACAACAUUGACUUUUCCCAUAAUUUAGCUUAGAGUGUUUUACACUGGGGAGUUUCAAUGUGUUUAAAUUGUAAAACUUUUUCCAAGCAUUUUUGUAGCAGAACUCCAUGUCCCCGGCAAAGUUGUUUUCAAUAUUUUUUCUCCACGAAUUUUCAUGAAGGUUUAAUUCCAUUUUACCUUUGUCAAUUUUCCCCAAAGAUAAAUUAAGACACGCAGAGAGAUUGUCAUUUCCUGUCUGAAGUCUCAUUCCUGUGUACAAUGGAGGUCUUUUUUAUUUAGGCCUACGCCAUUCCAUCAGGGUAAGUAACUUUCUAAUUAGUCAUUAAGAGCAACUUCUGGGAAAUUGUGAUGCAAUCCCACAUGUCAGCCAGACUUCAAAAGCGACCAGAUUAUUGUGAAAGGAGAAACACUGUUUUCGAGGGCUGCUGAUAAUGCCUGUUAGCCAGAAGAAAGAGCCUGAAUCAUUCAAAGGUUUUCCACCUGGCAAAGAAAUGUGGUAAAAAUCUUGCCCAGAUCUGCAUGUGCUAAGCAUCCAGGUAAGUUGGAGCAUCAUAUUAAUGGCACACAGUGAAGAAAUGAAAGAAUCAAGUGUAAUUACUAUAUCAAAAAUCCACAAAAUGUGAAAGUAUAAAGAAAAACUAUCAGUUGCUCAGCUAAAAACUUUGGAGUUACACAUAUGGACAGCCCACCCCAAGGAAAGAAUCAGAGGAGAAGGUACACAAGACCCCAGAAACACAUGAAGCGCCUUAAUAUGCAUGCUGCAUCUCUCUAAAAUGGUGGAACCUGUUUACCUGCUCUGGAGAAUGGCUGCCUGUGGCAGACAUAGGAGUUGUUCUUAUGCUGUGCUUCCUAUGUUCCACAGUAAUUGAAUUGUAGCUGCAAUGCAGUUACCAACCAGGAAUACAAUUUCUCAGCCCCACAGCUUGCAUCUACAGCUAAGUGUGGACAUAUGACCAGUUUUCAUCAAUUAAGUGUGAAUAAAAACAAAGUGUACCAUCUUAAAGUGUAGACUUUGAAGAAGCAGGACAGCCAUCCCUUGUUCUCUUUCCCCUUGCGCUGGUGGGAUACAGAUGACAAUAAGGCCGUGGGUUUUGAGGUAGCCACAAGAUGCAAAAUGCCUCAGACCUGAGUCACAAUGUGGAAAAGAGAAGCCUACUUGCCUGGAACACCCAGCCUGGUCUAUAAAUGACCAAGAAAUAGACUUCUAUUAUGUUUGAACAUUACAGAUUUUGUUCUGUUAUAGUAGUUUAUCUCACCCUGACUAAACUGUUGCAUAUCUUUCAAGAUAGGCCCUCCUUCCCUGAAAGUGGCUUCUUCAUACAUGUAAUCUAUAUUUUAAUUCAUAUUCUCCAAAGCAUAUCUACAUCUAUUCAACUAUUUUCAUGUGUUCCA
Piliocolobus tephrosceles (Ugandan red Colobus) is the source of this 1432-nucleotide long non-coding RNA. RefSeq lists it as uncharacterized. The transcript has 4 exons. Lineage: Eukaryota; Metazoa; Chordata; Mammalia; Primates; Cercopithecidae. The record is from RefSeq and is a predicted model, not a curated record.